GUCGAAAUAGUUAAAUAGGUUAAAACAGUUUCCUUGUAAGAUUCAGUUGUUGGUUCGACUCCAGCUUUCGACA
Non-coding RNA from Tulasnella sp. 403, 73 nucleotides. The record is from the annotation of a GenBank genome assembly. NCBI's taxonomy places the organism in Eukaryota, Fungi, Basidiomycota, Agaricomycetes, Cantharellales, Tulasnellaceae.